Tissierella praeacuta DSM 18095 is the source of this 93-nucleotide regulatory RNA element. It matches the Rfam family "pan motif". The record is from Rfam. Lineage: Bacteria; Bacillati; Bacillota; Tissierellia; Tissierellales; Tissierellaceae.
UAGCCAAUAUCAAAUUAGAAUUGGACUGGCUAAAAGUUAAAAUUUAAUAUUUUAUCGACUGGUAUCCAAAAUUAAAAGGAACUAGAGCGGGAG